UCUCCGUUGGUGAACCAGCGGAGGGAUCAUUACAGGACUCGCAAGACUCCUACAACCCUGUGAACUUAACUAUAAGCACGUUGCUUCGGCGGGUGUCUCGGAGGGGGUUCUCCCUCCCGGAGACGCUAAACCCGCCGGCAGCCUACUAUACUCUGUCUCUUUGCGUUGGCAUCUCGAGUACAAUCAAACAAGUUAAAACUUUCAACAACGGAUCUCUUGGUUCUG
Molecule: unclassified non-coding RNA, 225 nt
Filed under: plant metagenome
Description: partial contains small subunit ribosomal RNA, internal transcribed spacer 1, and 5.8S ribosomal RNA
Source: RNAcentral